Molecule: ribosomal RNA, 433 nt
Filed under: uncultured bacterium
Lineage: Bacteria
Description: partial 16S ribosomal RNA
Rfam family: Bacterial small subunit ribosomal RNA
Source: RNAcentral
AACGAACGCUGGCGGCAUGCCUAACACAUGCAAGUCGAACGAGACCUUCGGGUCUAGUGGCGCACGGGUGCGUAACGCGUGGGAACCUGCCCUUAGGUUCGGAAUAACUCCCCGAAAGGGGUGCUAAUACCGGAUAAUGUCUUCGGACCAAAGAUUUAUCGACUUUGGAUGGGCCCGCGUUGGAUUAGCUAGUUGGUAGGGUAAAAGCCUACCAAGGCGACGAUCCAUAGCUGGUCUGAGAGGAUGAUCAGCCACACUGGGACUGAGACACGGCCCAGACUCCUACGGGAGGCAGCAGUGGGGAAUAUUGGACAAUGGGCGAAAGCCUGAUGCAGCAAUGCCGCGUGAGUGAUGAAGGCCUUAGGGUUGUAAAGCUCUUUUACCCGGGAUGAUAAUGACAGUACCGGGAGAAUAAGCGCCGGCUAACUCCGUG